CCUACGGGUGGCAGCAGUGGGGAAUAUUGGACAAUGGGCGAAAGCCUGAUCCAGCCAUGCCGCGUGUGUGAAGAAGGCCUUCGGGUUGUAAAGCACUUUCAGUGGGGAAGAAAGCCUUGGGGCUAAUACCCUCGAGGAAGGACAUCACCCACAGAAGAAGCACCGGCUAACUCCGUGCCAGCAGCCGCGGUAAUACGGAGGGUGCGAGCGUUAAUCGGAAUUACUGGGCGUAAAGCGCGCGUAGGCGGUCUGAUAAGCCGGUUGUGAAAGCCCCGGGCUCAACCUGGGAACGGCAUCCGGAACUGUCAGGCUGGAGUGCAGGAGAGGGAGGUAGAAUUCCCGGUGUAGCGGUGAAAUGCGUAGAGAUCGGGAGGAAUACCAGUGGCGAAGGCGGCCCUCUGGACUGACACUGACGCUGAGGUGCGAAAGCGUGGGUAGCAAACAGGAUUAGAUACCCCUGUAGUC
Molecule: ribosomal RNA, 465 nt
Filed under: Vreelandella stevensii
Lineage: Bacteria; Pseudomonadati; Pseudomonadota; Gammaproteobacteria; Oceanospirillales; Halomonadaceae
Description: partial 16S ribosomal RNA
Rfam family: Bacterial small subunit ribosomal RNA
Source: RNAcentral